GAUGAACGCUGGCGGCGUGCCUAAUACAUGCAAGUCGAGCGAACGGACGAGAAGCUUGCUUCUCUGAUGUUAGCGGCGGACGGGUGAGUAACACGUGGAUAACCUACCUAUAAGACUGGGAUAACUUCGGGAAACCGGAGCUAAUACCGGAUAAUAUUUUGAACCGCAUGGUUCAAAAGUGAAAGACGGUCUUGCUGUCACUUAUAGAUGGAUCCGCGCUGCAUUAGCUAGUUGGUAAGGUAACGGCUUACCAAGGCAACGAUGCAUAGCCGACCUGAGAGGGGGAUCGGCCACACUGGAACUGAGACACGGUCCAGACUCCUACGGGAGGCAGCAGUAGGGAAUCUUCCGCAGAGGGCGAAAGCCUGACGGAGCAACGCCGCGUGAGUGAUGAAGGUCUUCGGAUCGUAAAACUCUGUUAUUAGGGAAGAACAUAUGUGUAAGUAACUGUGCACAUCUUGACGGUACCUAAUCAGAAAGCCACGGCUAACUACGUG
RNAcentral lists this ribosomal RNA (497 nucleotides) under uncultured bacterium. RNAcentral describes it as "partial 16S ribosomal RNA". It matches the Rfam family "Bacterial small subunit ribosomal RNA", at positions 28 to 507 of the family's 1533-position model. The record is from RNAcentral.